UUGUUCGGUCUAAUAAAAUUUGAAGGCGAAGGAGGGAGGCUAUCUGACGAUAUCUCUGUAGGAACCGAGAAAUCGCCCAUCUCGUUGUUCAGCACAAUGCCUGUGGAACGAGACAAAACCCCGCCUCCAAAGGCGUAAUUCACAGUCGUCGUCAUUGAUACCACAUUUCUAUCAUUAUCUACUAUGCAAAAAUGACUCGUGCCAUGGUCUUCAAGCUGACUCCACCUAGCAUGUAGUAUAUAGAAGGAAAAGUUGUGUUGUCCAAAAUCUUCUCUUGAAUAUUCUUUGCGAACGAGGGUGAAAGCAUAUCAGCUACUGUCUUACUUAUAUUAACAUAAUCCGGGUCGCCUAAAUCCAUCCGAAGAGCAAACAUGUGCUUUAAUGCUUCAAUGAAACGAUGUAAUCCCAACGCUCCUUUUGCAGCAUUUGAAUUCUCGUAGCUUUCUAAGAUGUUUGACACCUGUAGCUAGCCCCAACGUACCACUUGACGGGGGCGGCAUCCCUAAUAUAGUGUACCCCAUGGUAUCCACCGCAACCGCAUCCGUAACCUCAACAUCAUAGUUCCUCAAAUCUUCCAUUGUCAAAAUCCCGCCUGCAUCUUGAACAUCCUUAACCAACUUCUCCCCGAUCACCCCAUCAUAAAACGCUUUCGGCCCUUCAUUCGCUACAACUUCUAAAGUCAACCCGAGUUUUCGGUUAUAGCAAAUGUCCCCGGCUUUUAAAAGCUCCCCGUU
RNAcentral lists this long non-coding RNA (734 nucleotides) under Helianthus annuus (common sunflower). Its description in RNAcentral is "hypothetical non coding rna". Lineage: Eukaryota; Viridiplantae; Streptophyta; Magnoliopsida; Asterales; Asteraceae. The record is from RNAcentral.